CUUAACUCUGGAGUUCUUUCAGGAUGUGCUCCGGAAAAGGUAAGUCAAUUUUGGUGACAUAGGUAGCCAAAUCAAUUAUCUUAAGCCUUUCCAUAUAUCACAACUCGGGAUGUUACAAUUUUAUUAAAAGUCUCUCGAAAAUCUUAUAAAAUUUAUUUAAUCAGGUUUAUGCGACAACACACGUGUGUUUUACCGCUAACCAAUUCCUAGUCUAUCUAAAUUUUAUUUUCAAGAAUAUCUG
RNAcentral lists this long non-coding RNA (241 nucleotides) under Brassica napus (rape). RNAcentral describes it as "long non-coding RNA (BNAP_LNC027054)". The record is from RNAcentral. Lineage: Eukaryota; Viridiplantae; Streptophyta; Magnoliopsida; Brassicales; Brassicaceae.